AUUGAACGCUGGCGGCAGGCCUAACACAUGCAAGUCGAGCGGAGCGGCGGACGGGUGAGUAAUGCCUAGGAAUCUGCCUGGUAGUGGGGGAUAACGUCCGGAAACGGGCGCUAAUACCGCAUACUAUCAGAUGAGCCUAGGUCGGAUUAGCUUGUUGGUGGGUUAAAGGCCUACCAAGGCGACGAUCCGUAACUGGUCUGAGAGGAUGAUCAGUCACACUGGAACGGUGACACGGUCCAGACUACUACGGGAGGCCGCAGUGGGGAAUAUAAGACAAUGGGCGAAAGCCUGAUCCAGCCAAGCCGCGUGUGUGAAGAAGGUCUUCUGAUUGUAAAGCACUUUAAGUUGGGAAGCGGUACAAAAAGAAUAAGCACCGGCUAACUUCGUGCCAGCAGCCGCGGUAAUAC
RNAcentral lists this ribosomal RNA (407 nucleotides) under uncultured bacterium. RNAcentral describes it as "partial 16S ribosomal RNA". It matches the Rfam family "Bacterial small subunit ribosomal RNA", at positions 30 to 526 of the family's 1533-position model. The record is from RNAcentral.